Hydra vulgaris (swiftwater hydra) is the source of this 261-nucleotide non-coding RNA. The record is from RefSeq and is a predicted model, not a curated record. Lineage: Eukaryota; Metazoa; Cnidaria; Hydrozoa; Anthoathecata; Hydridae.
GUUUGUCAGUCAGCAAGUGACUUUUGUAACUUUUAAAUUUAUUUUAUUUACUAAAAUUAGAAGAUUCUGUUGAGAAUCUAAAAAAAUUAGAACAUUCAAUGGGGUUUAUAUUUCAACAACUUAAAAAUUUAGAAAAUUCCAUUGGUAAGCAAAGUACACUUAUGUUUCUUUUUGUUUAAUUUUAACACACAUUUUUUGAUGUUUGUGUGCGGUUUUAUCACUCUAAAAUAAACUGUUUAAUUGAUUAGUAUAUGUUUAUAU